This 1150-nucleotide long non-coding RNA is filed under the name Callithrix jacchus (white-tufted-ear marmoset). RNAcentral's name for it is "lncRNA (ENSCJAG00000078672.1)". The record is from RNAcentral. Lineage: Eukaryota; Metazoa; Chordata; Mammalia; Primates; Cebidae.
GGAAAGAAUGAACCGGACCAUCAAAAAACAGCUUAGGGAAAGUGUGUCAGGAAACAAGAUUAAACUGGGUGCAGGCACUUCAGUUGGUGUUAUUCAAAAUUAGAUGCACCCCCUCUAAGAAAACAGCAUAUUCCCCUAUGAAGUCUUAUAUCAUAGCCCCCCUCUCCUCCUCUGGGCACUCCUAGGAACUCAGGCAUGGGGAGAGAUUGAGUUAGGAUGCUAGUUAUCAGCUCUAAGGAGAAUCGCUUAGGAUACCUCAACCUGAGCAAAUAACAAAUGUCCUGUAAGUCUUUUUCUCCCCAGUUCACCCUUUCUCACUAGGUAAUCACAUGUGGAUAAAGGAUGGGAGUACAGCCCCUCUAAAGCCACAAUGGAAAGGACCUCAGACCUGAUCCUGACCACUCCCACAGCCGUGAAGGUAGAGGGAAUCCCAGCCUGAAUCCACCACAGCCGUGUAAGAAACCAGCAACAGCUGAGACUUAGGCCAAGGCAAGGAUUACAGAAUCACCUUAAAAAAGACAACAAGCCUUGCUCCAGACACAUCCCAGAAGCUGGCUCGUCCAUGCACAGCCAAAGCAUGAGGAGAUUCAUUGUGGGACUUGUUCUUCUUAAUAUUUGGACUUGUACAGUAGGAACAUUAACUAAUUUUAAAGAAUGCCCUCAGUAGGUACACCAGAUGACCAGGGGCAAGCAGUGGAGGAUACUGUGUGAGACAUGACCAAACUGGCACACGUGCCUGUACAGGUGUGGCACGGAUUUAACCCUGAGUCCUUAUUCGGAAGUCAGUUCUCAUCCUUGGGAGGAUUCAAAACCCUCAUCAUAAUAAUAGAGGUCCAAACCAACAACCGGUAUGGAAACCAUCCAGACAUUUAAAGCCUUAUCAUGAGCGGCGGUUAUCACCAUUGCAACAGCUGUGAGCUUCCCAAUGGAGAAGUACAUGUGACAAAGAACUGAGGGAAAACUUCAAUGCAAUAGCCAGUAAAGAAAUGAAUUCUGCUAUCAAUUACAUGAACCAGCUUGGAACAAGAACCUGCCUCCAUUGAACCUUCAAAUGAGAUUGCAACCCUGGCUGCCAUUCUGACUGCAGCCUUGUGAGAGACUUUGAGGGAGAUAUACUUCAGCUAAGCUGCUCCCAGAUUCCUGAUCCAGA